Molecule: small nucleolar RNA, 86 nt
Organism: Lycium barbarum (goji berry)
Lineage: Eukaryota; Viridiplantae; Streptophyta; Magnoliopsida; Solanales; Solanaceae
Product: small nucleolar RNA snoR8a
Exons: 1
Source: RefSeq, a predicted model, not a curated record
GCGGUUGCGAUGAUUAUAAAAUAAUUCCUCGUACUGAAUGCUAACAGCAUGACAGACCCUUUUACACCCAUAGAAUAUGAGCAACC